GCCGCGUUGGCUCAAUGGUAGAGCGUCGCCCUCCUAAAACAGGCGAAGGCUGCGGGUUCGAGUCCCGUGCGUGGUA
Molecule: transfer RNA, 76 nt
Filed under: Rhizoctonia solani
Lineage: Eukaryota; Fungi; Basidiomycota; Agaricomycetes; Cantharellales; Ceratobasidiaceae
Description: tRNA-Arg
Rfam family: tRNA
About the family: Transfer RNA (tRNA) molecules are approximately 80 nucleotides in length. Their secondary structure includes four short double-helical elements and three loops (D, anti-codon, and T loops).
Source: RNAcentral